This 243-nucleotide ribosomal RNA is filed under the name uncultured bacterium. Its description in RNAcentral is "partial 16S ribosomal RNA". It matches the Rfam family "Bacterial small subunit ribosomal RNA", at positions 30 to 271 of the family's 1533-position model. The record is from RNAcentral.
AUUGAACGCUGGCGGCGUGCUUAACACAUGCAAGUCGAGCGGUAAGGCCCUUUCGGGGUACGACGAGCGGCGAACGGUGUGUAACACGUGGGUGACCCGCCCUCAGCUCUGGGAUAAGACCUGGGAAACCGGGUCUAAUACCGGAUAUGACUCCAUGACGCAUGUUGUGGGGUGGAAAGCCUUGUGCGGCUGAGGAGUGGGCCCGCGGCCUAUCAGCUUGUUGGUGGGGUGAUGGCCUACCAA